RNAcentral lists this ribosomal RNA (252 nucleotides) under uncultured bacterium. Its description in RNAcentral is "partial 16S ribosomal RNA". It matches the Rfam family "Bacterial small subunit ribosomal RNA", at positions 524 to 776 of the family's 1533-position model. The record is from RNAcentral.
UACGAAGGGGGCUAGCGUUGCUCGGAAUUACUGGGCGUAAAGCGCACGUAGGCGGCUUUCUAAGUCGGGGGUGAAAUCCUGGAGCUCAACUCCAGAACUGCCUUCGAUACUGGAAAGCUCGAGUCCGGGAGAGGUGAGUGGAACUGCGAGUGUAGAGGUGAAAUUCGUAGAUAUUCGAAGAACACCAGUGGCGAAGGCGGCUCACUGGCCCGGUACUGACGCUGAGGUGCGAAAGCGUGGGGAGCAAACAGG